This 519-nucleotide ribosomal RNA is filed under the name uncultured Chrysophyceae. RNAcentral describes it as "SSU rRNA". It matches the Rfam family "Eukaryotic small subunit ribosomal RNA", at positions 451 to 974 of the family's 1831-position model. The record is from RNAcentral. Lineage: Eukaryota; Chrysophyceae.
CUGACACAGGGAGGUAGUGACAAUAAAUAACAAUGCCGGGCUUUUUAAAGUUUGGCAAUUGGAAUGAGAACAAUUUAAAUCCCUUAUCGAGGAUCAAUUGGAGGGCAAGUCUGGUGCCAGCAGCCGCGGUAAUUCCAGCUCCAAUAGCGUAUACUAAAGUUGUUGCAGUUAAAAAGCUCGUAGUUGGAUUUCUGGUCGUGAGAUUCGGUCUGCUUCGUAAGGAGUAUGUACUAGAAUUUCAUGUCCAUCCUCGGAGUAUUGUUAUAUGGGAUUAAUUUUCGUGUAAUGAUCUCCGUCAUUUACUGUGAGUAAACUAGAGUGUUCAAAGCAGGCUUAGGCCGUUGAAUACAUUAGCAUGGAAUAAUAAGAUAAGACCUUGGUCUAUUUUGUUGGUUUAUUUUCCAAGGUAAUGAUUAAUAGGGAUAGUUGGGGGUAUUCGUAUUCAAUUGUCAGAGGUGAAAUUCUUGGAUUUAUGGAAGACGAACUACUGCGAAAGCAUUUACCAAGGAUGUUUUCAUU